RNAcentral lists this transfer RNA (67 nucleotides) under Alphaproteobacteria bacterium. Its description in RNAcentral is "tRNA-Leu". The record is from RNAcentral. Lineage: Bacteria; Pseudomonadati; Pseudomonadota; Alphaproteobacteria.
GCCCGUUUCGGAUAUUCACCGCUUCGUAAGCGGUAGGCCGUUGGUUCAAAUCCGACUCGGGGCACCA